Pediococcus claussenii ATCC BAA-344 is the source of this 124-nucleotide regulatory RNA element. It matches the Rfam family "Ribosomal protein L10 leader". From Rfam's summary of the family: This family is a putative r-protein leader autoregulatory structure found in B. subtilis and other low-GC Gram-positive bacteria. The record is from Rfam. NCBI's taxonomy places the organism in Bacteria, Bacillati, Bacillota, Bacilli, Lactobacillales, Lactobacillaceae.
UUAUAACUGAAUAAUUUACCUAAGACUCAGGUGAUCCCGUGCGGAUCUUAAUAGUAUGCCUGCCGAGGAACGUAUAAUUUUAUCCGUAACUCUUAGUCUGGGUCACGGAUAUUUUUAGUUCUAA